This 565-nucleotide ribosomal RNA is filed under the name uncultured Alphaproteobacteria bacterium. RNAcentral's name for it is "bacterial SSU rRNA". It matches the Rfam family "Bacterial small subunit ribosomal RNA", at positions 9 to 630 of the family's 1533-position model. Lineage: Bacteria; Pseudomonadati; Pseudomonadota; Alphaproteobacteria. The record is from RNAcentral.
GAGUUUGAUUCUGGCUCAGAACGAACGCUGGCGGCAGGCCUAACACAUGCAAGUCGAACGAUAUAGUGGCAGACGGGUGAGUAGCGCGUGGGAACGUACCUUUCACUACGGAAUAGCUCUGGGAAACUGGUGGUAAUACCGUAUACGCCCUUAGGGGGAAAGAUUUAUCGGUGAAAGAUCGGCCCGCGUUGGAUUAGCUAGUUGGUGAGGUAAUGGCUCACAAAGGCGACGAUCCAUAGCUGGUCUGAGAGGAUGAUCAGCCACACUGGGACUGAGACACGGCCCAGACUCCUACGGGAGGCAGCAGUGGGGAAUCUUGCACAAUGGGCGAAAGCCUGAUGCAGCCAUGCCGCGUGAAUGAUGAAGGCCUUAGGGUUGUAAAAUUCUUUCGUCAGGGAUGAUAAUGACCGUACCUGAAGAAGAAGCCCCGGCUAACUUCGUGCCAGCAGCCGCGGUAAUACGAAGGGGGCUAGCGUUGUUCGGAAUUACUGGGCGUAAAGCGCACGUAGGCGGACUUUUAAGUCAGGUGUGAAAUCCCGAGGCUCAACCUCGGAACUGCAUUUGA